UACGAAGGGGCUAGCGUUGCUCGGAAUGACUGGGCGUAAAGGCGCGUAGGCGGUUUGGACAGUCAGAUGUGAAAUUCCUGGGCUCAACCUGGGGGCUGCAUUUGAUACGUUCGGACUAGAGUGGGGAAGAGGGUCGUGGAAUUCCCAGUGUAGAGGUGAAAUUCGUAGAUAUUGGGAAGAACACCGGUGGCGAAGGCGGCCUGCUGGGCUAUGGCUGACACUGAGGCGCGACAGCGUGGGGAGCAAACAGG
This 251-nucleotide ribosomal RNA is filed under the name uncultured bacterium. Its description in RNAcentral is "partial 16S ribosomal RNA". It matches the Rfam family "Bacterial small subunit ribosomal RNA", at positions 524 to 776 of the family's 1533-position model. The record is from RNAcentral.